GUGUCAGCAGCCGCGGUAAUACGUAGGGAGCGAGCGUUGUCCGGAAUUACUGGGCGUAAAGGGUGCGUAGGCGGCGAUGUAAGUCAGAUGUGAAAUCCCCGGGCUCAACUCGGGUUCUGCAUUUGAAACUACAUUGCUUGAGUGCAGGAGAGGAAAGCGGAAUUCCUAGUGUAGCGGUGAAAUGCGUAGAUAUUAGGAAGAACACCAGUGGCGAAGGCGGCUUUCUGGACUGCAACUGACGCUGAGGCACGAAAGCGUGGGGAGCAAACAGGAUUAGAUACCCUGGUAGUCCACGCUGUAAACGAUGGAUACUAGGUGUGGAGGACAUACAACCUCUGUGCCGAAGCUAACGCAUUAAGUAUCCCGCCUGGGGAGUACGGUCGCAAGACUGAA
RNAcentral lists this ribosomal RNA (393 nucleotides) under uncultured bacterium. Its description in RNAcentral is "bacterial SSU rRNA". It matches the Rfam family "Bacterial small subunit ribosomal RNA", at positions 505 to 898 of the family's 1533-position model. The record is from RNAcentral.